GAGUUUGAUCGUGGCUCAGGACGAACGCUGGCGGCGUGCUUAACACAUGCAAGUCGAACGGUAAGGCUCCAGCUUGCUGGGGUACACGAGCGGCGAACGGGUGAGUAACACGUGGGUGACCUGCCCUGCACUUCGGGAUAAGCCUGGGAAACUGGGUCUAAUACCGGAUAGGACCGCACCGUGAGGGUGUGGUGGAAAGUUUUUUCGGUGUGGGAUGGGCCCGCGGCCUAUCAGCUUGUUGUGGGUAAUGGCCUACCAAGGCGGCGACGGGUAGCCGGCCUGAGAGGGUGGAC
RNAcentral lists this ribosomal RNA (293 nucleotides) under uncultured microorganism. RNAcentral's name for it is "partial 16S ribosomal RNA". It matches the Rfam family "Bacterial small subunit ribosomal RNA", at positions 9 to 305 of the family's 1533-position model. The record is from RNAcentral.